GAUGAACGCUGGCGGCGUGCCUAAUACAUGCAAGUCGAGCGAACGGACGAGAAGCUUGCUUCUCUGAUGUUAGCGGCGGACGGGUGAGUAACACGUGGAUAACCUACCUAUAAGACUGGGAUAACUUCGGGAAACCGUAGCUAAUACCGGAUAAUAUUUUGAACCGCAUGGUUCAAAAGUGAAAGACGGUCUUGCUGUCACUUAUAGAUGGAUCCGCGCUGCAUUAGCUAGUUGGUAAGGUAACGGCUUACCAAGGCAACGAUGCAUAGCCGACCUGAGAGGGUGAUCGGCCACACUGGAACUGAGACACGGUCCAGACUCCUACGGGAGGCAGCAGUAGGGAAUCGUCCGCAAUGGGCGAAAGCCUGACGGAGCAACGCCGCGUGAGUGAUGAAGGUCUUCGGAUCGUAAAACUCUGUUAUUAGGGAAGAACAUAUGUGUAAGUAACUGUGCACAUCUUGACGGUUCCUAAUCAGAAAGCCACGGCUAACUACGUG
This 497-nucleotide ribosomal RNA is filed under the name uncultured bacterium. RNAcentral's name for it is "partial 16S ribosomal RNA". It matches the Rfam family "Bacterial small subunit ribosomal RNA", at positions 28 to 507 of the family's 1533-position model. The record is from RNAcentral.